UAAGGAAUAUUGGGCAAUGGGCGCAAGCCUGACCCAGCCAUGCCGCGUGCAGGAUGACUGCCCUAUGGGUUGUAAACUGCUUUUAUACGGGAAAAAACCCUCGAACGUGUUCGGGGCUGAUGGUACCGUAAGAAUAAGGAUCGGCUAACUCCGUGCCAGCAGCCGCGGUAAUACGGUGGAUCCAAGCGUUAUCCGGAUUUAUUGGGUUUAAAGGGUGCGUAGGCGGAAUGGUAAGCCAGCGGUGAAAUCUCCCAGCUUAACUGGGAAACUGCCGUUGAUACUGCCAAUCUUGAGUACGGUUGAAGUGGGCGGAAUGUAGCAUGUAGCGGUGAAAUGCUUAGAUAUGCUACAGAACACCGAUUGCGAAGGCAGCUCACUAAGCCGCAACUGACGCUGAGGCACGAAAGCGUGGGGAGCAAACAG
RNAcentral lists this ribosomal RNA (423 nucleotides) under uncultured bacterium. RNAcentral's name for it is "bacterial SSU rRNA". It matches the Rfam family "Bacterial small subunit ribosomal RNA", at positions 355 to 775 of the family's 1533-position model. The record is from RNAcentral.